UAAGCGACUAAGCGUACACGGUGGAUGCCCUGGCAGUCAGAGGCGAUGAAGGACGUGCUAAUCUGCGAUAAGCGUCGGUAAGGUGAUAUGAACCGUUAUAACCGGCGAUUUCCGAAUGGGGAAACCCAGUGUGUUUCGACACACUAUCAUUAACUGAAUCCAUAGGUUAAUGAGGCGAACCGGGGGAACUGAAACAUCUAAGUACCCCGAGGAAAAGAAAUCAACCGAGAUUCCCCCAGUAGCGGCGAGCGAACGGGGAGUAGCCCAGAGCCUGAAUCAGUGUGUGUGUUAGUGGAAGCGUCUGGAAAGGCGCGCGAUACAGGGUGACAGCCCCGUACACAAAAAUGCACAUGCUGUGAGCUCGAUGAGUAGGGCGGGACACGUGGUAUCCUGUCUGAAUAUGGGGGGACCAUCCUCCAAGGCUAAAUACUCCUGACUGACCGAUAGUGAACCAGUACCGUGAGGGAAAGGCGAAAAGAACCCCGGCGAGGGGAGUGAAAAAGAACCUGAAACCGUGUACGUACAAGCAGUGGGAGCACGCUUAGGCGUGUGACUGCGUACCUUUUGUAUAAUGGGUCAGCGACUUAUAUUCUGUAGCAAGGUUAACCGAAUAGGGGAGCCGAAGGGAAACCGAGUCUUAACUGGGCGUUAAGUUGCAGGGUAUAGACCCGAAACCCGGUGAUCUAGCCAUGGGCAGGUUGAAGGUUGGGUAACACUAACUGGAGGACCGAACCGACUAAUGUUGAAAAAUUAGCGGAUGACUUGUGGCUGGGGGUGAAAGGCCAAUCAAACCGGGAGAUAGCUGGUUCUCCCCGAAAGCUAUUUAGGUAGCGCCUCGUGAAUUCAUCUCCGGGGGUAGAGCACUGUUUCGGCAAGGGGGUCAUCCCGACUUACCAACCCGAUGCAAACUGCGAAUACCGGAGAAUGUUAUCACGGGAGACACACGGCGGGUGCUAACGUCCGUCGUGAAGAGGGAAACAACCCAGACCGCCAGCUAAGGUCCCAAAGUCAUGGUUAAGUGGGAAACGAUGUGGGAAGGCCCAGACAGCCAGGAUGUUGGCUUAGAAGCAGCCAUCAUUUAAAGAAAGCGUAAUAGCUCACUGGUCGAGUCGGCCUGCGCGGAAGAUGUAACGGGGCUAAACCAUGCACCGAAGCUGCGGCAGCGACGCUGAUGCGUUGUUGGGUAGGGGAGCGUUCUGUAAGCCUGCGAAGGUGUGCUGUGAGGCAUGCUGGAGGUAUCAGAAGUGCGAAUGCUGACAUAAGUAACGAUAAAGCGGGUGAAAAGCCCGCUCGCCGGAAGACCAAGGGUUCCUGUCCAACGUUAAUCGGGGCAGGGUGAGUCGACCCCUAAGGCGAGGCCGAAAGGCGUAGUCGAUGGGAAACAGGUUAAUAUUCCUGUACUUGGUGUUACUGCGAAGGGGGGACGGAGAAGGCUAUGUUGGCCGGGCGACGGUUGUCCCGGUUUAAGCGUGUAGGCUGGUUUUCCAGGCAAAUCCGGAAAAUCAAGGCUGAGGCGUGAUGACGAGGCACUACGGUGCUGAAGCAACAAAUGCCCUGCUUCCAGGAAAAGCCUCUAAGCAUCAGGUAACAUCAAAUCGUACCCCAAACCGACACAGGUGGUCAGGUAGAGAAUACCAAGGCGCUUGAGAGAACUCGGGUGAAGGAACUAGGCAAAAUGGUGCCGUAACUUCGGGAGAAGGCACGCUGAUAUGUAGGUGAAGCGACUUGCUCGUGGAGCUGAAAUCAGUCGAAGAUACCAGCUGGCUGCAACUGUUUAUUAAAAACACAGCACUGUGCAAACACGAAAGUGGACGUAUACGGUGUGACGCCUGCCCGGUGCCGGAAGGUUAAUUGAUGGGGUUAGCGCAAGCGAAGCUCUUGAUCGAAGCCCCGGUAAACGGCGGCCGUAACUAUAACGGUCCUAAGGUAGCGAAAUUCCUUGUCGGGUAAGUUCCGACCUGCACGAAUGGCGUAAUGAUGGCCAGGCUGUCUCCACCCGAGACUCAGUGAAAUUGAACUCGCUGUGAAGAUGCAGUGUACCCGCGGCAAGACGGAAAGACCCCGUGAACCUUUACUAUAGCUUGACACUGAACAUUGAGCCUUGAUGUGUAGGAUAGGUGGGAGGCUUAGAAGUGUGGACGCCAGUCUGCAUGGAGCCGACCUUGAAAUACCACCCUUUAAUGUUUGAUGUUCUAACGUUGACCCGUAAUCCGGGUUGCGGACAGUGUCUGGUGGGUAGUUUGACUGGGGCGGUCUCCUCCUAAAGAGUAACGGAGGAGCACGAAGGUUGGCUAAUCCUGGUCGGACAUCAGGAGGUUAGUGCAAUGGCAUAAGCCAGCUUGACUGCGAGCGUGACGGCGCGAGCAGGUGCGAAAGCAGGUCAUAGUGAUCCGGUGGUUCUGAAUGGAAGGGCCAUCGCUCAACGGAUAAAAGGUACUCCGGGGAUAACAGGCUGAUACCGCCCAAGAGUUCAUAUCGACGGCGGUGUUUGGCACCUCGAUGUCGGCUCAUCACAUCCUGGGGCUGAAGUAGGUCCCAAGGGUAUGGCUGUUCGCCAUUUAAAGUGGUACGCGAGCUGGGUUUAGAACGUCGUGAGACAGUUCGGUCCCUAUCUGCCGUGGGCGCUGGAGAACUGAGGGGGGCUGCUCCUAGUACGAGAGGACCGGAGUGGACGCAUCACUGGUGUUCGGGUUGUCAUGCCAAUGGCACUGCCCGGUAGCUAAAUGCGGAAGAGAUAAGUGCUGAAAGCAUCUAAGCACGAAACUUGCCCCGAGAUGAGUUCUCCCUGACUCCUUGAGAGUCCUGAAGGAACGUUGAAGACGACGACGUUGAUAGGCCGGGUGUGUAAGCGCAGCGAUGCGUUGAGCUAACCGGUACUAAUGAACCGUGAGGCUUAACCU
This 2900-nucleotide ribosomal RNA is filed under the name Escherichia coli 2-460-02_S3_C1. Its description in RNAcentral is "bacterial LSU rRNA". It matches the Rfam family "Bacterial large subunit ribosomal RNA". Lineage: Bacteria; Pseudomonadati; Pseudomonadota; Gammaproteobacteria; Enterobacterales; Enterobacteriaceae. The record is from RNAcentral.